This is a non-coding RNA of Sarcophilus harrisii (Tasmanian devil), 46 nucleotides long. The record is from Rfam. NCBI's taxonomy places the organism in Eukaryota, Metazoa, Chordata, Mammalia, Dasyuromorphia, Dasyuridae.
CCAAAGGCUCUUCUUAGAGCCACCUACGAUUUCUUUGAAAUUAGCU